GGUGAGUAAUGUCUGGGAAACUGCCUGAUGGAGGGGGAUAACUACUGGAAACGGUAGCUAAUACCGCAUAACGUCGCAAGACCAAAGAGGGGGACCUUCGGGCCUCUUGCCAUCGGAUGUGCCCAGAUGGGAUUAGCUAGUAGGUGGGGUAACGGCUCACCUAGGCGACGAUCCCUAGCUGGUCUGAGAGGAUGACCAGCCACACUGGAACUGAGACACGGUCCAGACUCCUACGGGAGGCAGCAGUGGGGAAUAUUGCACAAUGGGCGCAAGCCUGAUGCAGCCAUGCCGCGUGUAUGAAGAAGGCCUUCGGGUUGUAAAGUACUUUCAGCGGGGAGGAAGGGAGUAAAGUUAAUACCUUUGCUCAUUGACGUUACCCGCAGAAGAAGCACCGGCUAACUCCGUGCCAGCAGCCGCGGUAAUACGGAGGGUGCAAGCGUUAAUCGGAAUUACUGGGCGUAAAGCG
Molecule: ribosomal RNA, 466 nt
Filed under: Escherichia coli
Lineage: Bacteria; Pseudomonadati; Pseudomonadota; Gammaproteobacteria; Enterobacterales; Enterobacteriaceae
Description: bacterial SSU rRNA
Rfam family: Bacterial small subunit ribosomal RNA
Source: RNAcentral